GAUGAACGCUGGCGGCGUGCCUAAUACAUGCAAGUCGAGCGAACAGACGAGGAGCUUGCUCCUCUGACGUUAGCGGCGGACGGGUGAGUAACACGUGGAUAACCUACCUAUAAGACUGGGAUAACUUCGGGAAACCGGAACUAAUACCGGAUAAUAUAUUGAACCGCAUGGUUCAAUAGUGAAAGACGGUUUUGCUGUCACUUAUAGAUGGAUCCGCGCCGCAUUAGCUAGUUGGUAAGGUAACGGCUUACCAAGGCGACGAUGCGUAGCCGACCUGAGAGGGUGAUCGGCCACACUGGAACUGAGACACGGUACAGACUCCUACGGGAGGCAGCAGUAGGGAAUCUUCCGCAAUGGGCGAAAGCCUGACGGAGCAACGCCGCGUGAGUGAUGAAGGUCUUCGGAUCGUAAAACUCUGUUAUUAGGGAAGAACAAAUGUGUAAGUAACUAUGCACGUCUUGACGGUACCUAAUCAGAAAGCCACGGCUAACUACGUG
This 497-nucleotide ribosomal RNA is filed under the name uncultured bacterium. Its description in RNAcentral is "partial 16S ribosomal RNA". It matches the Rfam family "Bacterial small subunit ribosomal RNA", at positions 28 to 507 of the family's 1533-position model. The record is from RNAcentral.